RNAcentral lists this ribosomal RNA (440 nucleotides) under uncultured bacterium. RNAcentral's name for it is "partial 16S ribosomal RNA". It matches the Rfam family "Bacterial small subunit ribosomal RNA", at positions 338 to 795 of the family's 1533-position model. The record is from RNAcentral.
CCUACGGGAGGCAGCAGUGGGGAAUAUUGCACAAUGGGGGAAACCCUGAUGCAGCAACGCCGCGUGAGUGAAGAAGGAUUUCGGUAUGUAACGCUCUAUCAGCAGGGAAGAAAAUGACAGUACCUGACUAAGAAGCCACGGCUACCUACGUGACAGCAGCCGCGGUAAUACGGAGGGGGAAAGCGUUAUCCGGGUUUACUGGGUGUAAAGGGAGCGUCGACGGCUGCGCAAGUCAGAAGUGAAAGCCCGGGGCUCAACCGCGGGACCGCUUUUGAAACUGUGUAGCUAGAGUGCAGGAGAGGUAAGUGGAAUGCCUAGUGUAGCGGUGAAAUGCGUAGAUAUUAGGCGGAACACCGGUGGCGAAGGCGGCAUACUGGACUGUAACUGACGUUGAGGCUCGAAAGCGUGGGGAGCAAACAGGAUUAGAUACCCGAGUAGUC